Long non-coding RNA from Pseudomyrmex gracilis, 4464 nucleotides. RefSeq lists it as uncharacterized. NCBI's taxonomy places the organism in Eukaryota, Metazoa, Arthropoda, Insecta, Hymenoptera, Formicidae. The record is from RefSeq and is a predicted model, not a curated record. The transcript has 3 exons.
UCAAUAACGACGGCCAAGCGAAAAGAUAUAUACCACAGUCGCGCAUUGAGGGUAACAAUUUUCGGUUCGAAAAUCGAUGUUCUCAAUUCUUCAACAAACACGCAUAUAAAUUUCUCAGUCAUGUCGGCUGUCGUUUCCGUGGUUCAAGAAAUCGGCCAUAUAUAAUAUUUCAGACAGCAAACGGUCUCGUUUGAAUCGGCGAUGUAACAUCGCCAAGGAUAAAGUUCUGGCUUCUCGGAUCUGCCCCAGAUUUGAUCGAUCGUUUCUCUGCAAAAUGCGACCGAGAACGAGAGAGAGAGAGAGAGAGAGGGAUAGUCCAAACUCAGUCGUCGUCACGUCGUCCUUGCGCGGAGUGCUCUGGUCUUCUCUUGUUAUAGGCUGACGCGAGACUUCCGCUCGGUCGAAACGCUAAUCCGCGUGACGACGAAGUAUCUCGCGAGGCGGCACACACGCUCCGAUGAACAAAUAUCGAUCGCUCGAACUCUAAUAAUCACCGUCGUCGCAAUGCAGACCGCACAAUACGGCGCGGCGCGCGCAUUAUAUAUCACACGUGUAAAUAAUUGCAAUUUGUAUAGAGCAGAUAAUGAUAAUAAUAAUAAUAAUAAUAAUAAUAGAAUAAGAAAAAUAACAAGAAAAAGAGGAGAUAAAAAAAAUAAUAACGACAUUACUUGACGUUACUUAUUAAAUGCCGUUAGCGUAUGGUAGGAAUUUUUCUUCUCUUCUCGAGUGUACUUUUGUUUGUUAAAAAGAACUUAUAAAUUGUCCCUCGCGUAAUUUCGAGAAAAAAAAAACGGCGGCUUCGUUCACGCCACCUCUUUAUUCUCGUCGUUUUUAUCGUAUCCUCUUGUCGCCACUUCGUGAAAAAGAAAGGAAACCAAAAUAAUUGUUCGCUAAUUAAAAAAAAAACAAAAAAAAACAAAAAAAAAAACAACCGGAGAACGCGAGGAGAAGCGAGGUGUAACAAUAAUUAGCUCUUAGACGUAUGAUGGAUCUAUGAUGUACAUCUCGUGCGAGCAAAAAAAAAUGACGAAGAUAAUAAACGGAAGAUAAUGGAAGUUGUGUGGCGUGCGCGCUUCGCACAAAGGAACGAGCAAUGGCGUCGUUUGCGAGAGCCUCGAGAUUUCGAAGUACAAACGCCAGAUGUAAAUUGGCUUUAGUGGAGAAAGAAGGAGAAGAACUGCGGUGAAGCGUCAUAUGCACCGGGAAUGAGAGAAUUGCACGGGUUGAAAAUUGCACCGCUGCGCAAAUUGCACGAAAAGAGAAAAAAAACCUGGAUGGCCAGCCAGCGGGAAAAUCUAACGAAGAAGAAGAUCAUGAUCAUGGUAUGCCUCGCCAUAUUGGGCGUUGUCGUCGCGACCACCAUCGGUGGAUACUUCGGACUGUGAACGCCAAAAUCAGAUAAAUCUAAACGACGUCAGCAGCACCGUGUACCUAUAUUUUCGAACCGCCAGCAGCGUCAGCAUUCAUUCACACAACCCCGAUACGUGAAGCUGAUCGCCGGAUUCGGAUGAGAGGAAGAUUGUCACUUUCGAAGGUGCCACCAGCGGUGCGCUUGUGUAUUAGCGUAAAAAAAAAAAACACACAUCACACAUCGCUAGAGAGUCUUCAGUCUAUCUUCACGCACGCUCCCUCCUCUUCUCCCCUUCCCAGUUCGGCACAAAGAAAAACCAAAGAGAAGAAUCGUCGUCGUUUUGGUGUCGGUCUCACCGUCGUCGUUCACAUCGCGCCGAUCUCCUCUCAAGAGUGUCCUCCGAUAGUUACGUUAGUUAGCGGUCGGAUGAUGUAAACCAAGAGGAGAGAAAAACAAACACGGAUAUUUCUCGUUCCUUUUUUUUUCUUUUUUGUCUCAAGUAUUGGCUCGAUCGACAGUUUUUCCGAUUGAUCCCCGGCUUCCAGUAGUCAAUCUCGGCUUGUAUUCUUUUCCGCGACGAAGCUCGGAGCGUUCGAACUCUCUUUUGCGUAUGCGUCCCCGUCACAUUACGCUUUUCUUUUUUCCUUUCCUUGUGCCCGUUCUCCUCUCACGCGGCUGAAGUGACACAAUCGACGACAGAAGGCUUCGCGAACAGGCUGAGAAAACCGAAGAGACCUUGGUUUCUCUCAGAGAACGCGUUGAUCGGAGAUACGCGCGUGCCGUUGAUCAAGGGGCAUCUCCGAUUGGCUCUCUCUCUGACACCACGUCGUCCUCGUCACUGACAACAGGACGGCUAUUGACACGAGGACACUGCCGGUGUUUCCCCUCCCUGCGCGCGCGCGAAUAUUCCCGCCGACACAUUGUCAUGAGACGCGCGUUGCACGUUAUCGCCGGAAACGGCGGUGCGUCCUUCGCGGUAUCCACCUCGUCGUCGCAAUUCCUUUCUCUACCCCCCUCUCAGGCCUGACAUCCAAUGGUGUUUUUCCCGUGUAACGCGAAGGCGAUAAACACGCGAAUCAGUGUAGCAUCUUCUUGAAAAAAUAUGACGCGCGACGUCGUCACACAUCGCUUUCCUUUCCUGUGACUGUGAUGUUUGCGCACACCGCGAAAUUUUGGGGAGUCACUUCUCAAACGUCACAUUUUGAAAGUGCGUUUUGCUCACCGAUAUCCGGUCUCCGUGUCUGUAUCCGCUUAUACACGAGAGAUAAACCGCUGACCAAAAAAAAAAAAACUUUGUAACGCCAAAUUCCGCAGUGAAGAUUAUAGAGAGACAAGUUAUAGAUCGUACAAUUCCCGCUAGUAAAUAUAUAUAUAUAUAUACAUAUAUCACGAUAACAUAUUAUUACUAAGUGAAUAGCGUACUACUGUAAUAAUUGGUAUCUCGUAUAGUACUGAUGAUUGGUAUCGGAAUAUUCGGGAUAAUUUCUAGUGAUUUCUAUAUGACACACACAUUUUGCACGGGAGGGGAGCCAAGCUUCGAGCGAGUUUUUGUGAACCUUUUUCCUGAGAAAACUAAAUGGAAAAAAAAAAAAUCUAGAAGAUUUUCGGGCUAGGUGAAACCGUUCACACCCGCAUAAAAACAAAGAAUAUUUCAACGGAUGUAUUUACUUAAGUAAAAAAAAAAAAAAAAAAAAUUAGCACAGAGUUAAGCAAUUAACCGCGAAUUUCUAUUUGAAAUAUAUCUCGACCAGCGGUUUAAUCCUCGGCUAUAUUAUAUAUAUAUAUACAUAUCACGCGAAUUUUGAGUGACAUUUUUGACAUCUCUACACUACACCUCUCUUGUAUCCGGACGAUCAUGGAGAAUCAGCUAGGUGACAUUUCUUCUCUGCAGAAAAACAUAAAUAAACGAAAACGACAUCGCGUGCAGUUUAUCGCUUGAAAAGCACCCGCGGGGACGGUUCGCGCCUAUAUUGGCUAAUCACGAUGCUCAUCGAAACUCUCUUUUUACGCAUACACGAGCGGAAACGAAAGCGUUCGGCAAUACAAAAGAUUAGAACAAAGGCCCUAGCUUCACGUAAAUAGCAAUCGAGCAAAGUUCGCGUCCUCAAACUCUUCUCAUUGAUCGCUAAAAAAUAAAUUGUGUUAGUCAAUGUCGGGAUGCAUCUAGCUCUGUUGGAAUCAAAAUUCGCAGUGACCGAGCUAUCGACGCGAAUAAUGUGAUCUUAUAACGGGUACAUUGAUCAGUAAAAGCUGUUAAUAUACUCUUUGUGUGUCUUGUUUGUUAUAACAGAAAAGGAGAGAAAGAGAGAGAGAGAGGAGAGGAGCUCGUUCGAGAAGGUAAUUCGACCACGAGGUGUUCAGUGAGAGAAACAAUCACUUCUUCCAGUAUUUCUAUUUAGCUGUAAUUAGCGGGAUAUCAAUCGCGAUAUAUAGCGAGGUGUAGACAAAAGCGAUUGCGUUUUUCUAAUAUAACAGACAUACGAUGUUUUUUCGGAAUGUGACAGAGAGAAGCGAUGUGACGAAUGUUCAAAAAGCAACAGACAACACACCAAAAAUUAAAAAUAAAAACAAACGAUAGAUUUAAUUGUACGGUACACGCGCGAGAUACGUGAUGACGAGUAGGUUCUCGUUUUUUAUCUUCUUUUAGAUCCACUAGAAGAGUCAUUCGAACGACGCUCCCGCGUACAUCGAUAAGUUCAACAACUAGUUUACUACAUUCGGUUUCGUGUUGCACAAAAACGCCAUUAGGUAUUGGGUAUACCAUCAAUGGAUCUUCAUUCACGAUUCUCGCCUUAAAAACCGAUAAUCAUUUCGCGCGUCUUCUGUAAUAUAUCUUUCGACGAACCCUCGGUAAAAUUCAAUUUCCCCGCAUUACAUCCUUUAUCCUUCCUCUGCGUAAACUUCUUUACUCGGUUCUUCUGCGAUGCGCCGCGCGCAAACGGCCGAUUUGAUUUUUCAAUCGUACUUACCGCACUGUGAUAGAAAAUUAUUUGUGAUUCCGCGUGAUUCAGUUCAGUUUUCUACGCGAUCUAGUACUUACUUCAAUUUUAUUUUGAUGACGCAGAUUCUAACUAACUUAUGUUGAUUUUCGAGAUUAAACUUGUAAAACAAAA